GACGAACGCUGGCGGCGUGCUUAACACAUGCAAGUCGAACGGAAAGGCCCUUCGGGGUACUCGAGUGGCGAACGGGUGAGUAACACGUGGGUGAUCUGCCCUGCACUUUGGGAUAAGCCUGGGAAACUGGGUCUAAUACCGAAUAGGACCACGCGCUUCAUGGUGCGUGGUGGAAAGCUUUUGCGGUGUGGGAUGGGCCCGCGGCCUAUCAGCUUGUUGGUGGGGUAAUGGCCUACCAAGGCGACGACGGGUAGCCGGCCUGAGAGGGUGACCGGCCACACUGGGACUGAGAUACGGCCCAGACUCCUACGGGAGGCAGCAGUGGGGAAUAUUGCACAAUGGGCGCAAGCCUGAUGCAGCGACGCCGCGUGAGGGAUGACGGCCUUCGGGUUGUAAACCUCUUUCAAUAGGGACGAAGCGCAAGUGACGGUACCUAUAGAAGAAGCACCGGCCAACUACGUG
This 462-nucleotide ribosomal RNA is filed under the name uncultured bacterium. RNAcentral's name for it is "partial 16S ribosomal RNA". It matches the Rfam family "Bacterial small subunit ribosomal RNA", at positions 28 to 507 of the family's 1533-position model. The record is from RNAcentral.